RNAcentral lists this RNase P RNA (340 nucleotides) under Paucibacter sediminis. Its description in RNAcentral is "Paucibacter sp. S2-9 RNase P RNA component class A". It matches the Rfam family "Bacterial RNase P class A". From Rfam's summary of the family: Ribonuclease P (RNase P) is a ubiquitous endoribonuclease, found in archaea, bacteria and eukarya as well as chloroplasts and mitochondria. Its best characterised activity is the generation of mature 5'-ends of tRNAs by cleaving the 5'-leader elements of precursor-tRNAs. The record is from RNAcentral. Lineage: Bacteria; Pseudomonadati; Pseudomonadota; Betaproteobacteria; Burkholderiales; Sphaerotilaceae.
GAAGCAAGCCAGACCGCCGCUGGUGCAAGCGUGGAAACACGGCACUGGAGGAAGGUCCGGACUGCAUAGAGCAGCGUAGCAGCUAACGGCUGCCCGGCGUAAGCCGAGGAUUAGAGCAACAGAGACGAGUCGAGGUGGGUCUAGGCCCGCCUCGGGUGAAACGGGCAAUCUCUACGCGCAGCAACACCAAGUAGGCCAGCGUUGAUGCGGCUCGCAGAGCUGGCGGGUAGGUGGCACCGAGCCGGGCAGUGAUGUCCGGCCCAGAGGAAUGGCGGUCACAGGGUCUGGCCCGCAAGGGUCAGGUCUUGCACAGAAUCCGGCCUAUCGGCUUGCUUCACAC